RNAcentral lists this ribosomal RNA (422 nucleotides) under uncultured bacterium. RNAcentral describes it as "bacterial SSU rRNA". It matches the Rfam family "Bacterial small subunit ribosomal RNA", at positions 355 to 774 of the family's 1533-position model. The record is from RNAcentral.
UGAGGAAUAUUGGUCAAUGGCCGAAAGGCUGAACCAGCCAUCCCGCGUGCAGGAUGACGGCCCUAUGGGUUGUAAACUGCUUUUGUACCUGAAGAAACCUGGUUACGAGUAACCAGUUGCCGGUAAGGUAUGAAUAAGCAUCGGCUAACUCCGUGCCAGCAGCCGCGGUAAUACGGAGGAUGCAAGCGUUAUCCGGAUUCAUUGGGUUUAAAGGGUGCGCAGGUGGGAAAAUAAGUCAGUGGUGAAAUACUGCCGCUUAACGGUAGAAUUGCCAUUGAUACUGUUUUUCUUGAGUAUGGUUGAGGUAGGUGGAAUGUGUUGUGUAGCGGUGAAAUGCAUAGAUAUGACACAGAACGCCGAUUGCGAAGGCAGCUUACUAAGCCAUUACUGACGCUGAGGCACGAAAGCGUGGGGAUCAAACA